GAUGAGCGCUAGCGGGAGGCCUAACACAUGCAAGCCGAGCGGUAGAGUCUCUUCGGAGACUUGAGAGCGGCGCACGGGUGCGGAACACGUGUGCAACCUGCCUUUAUCUGGGGGAUAGCCUUUCGAAGGGAAGAUUAAUACCCCAUAAUAUACUGGAUGGCAUCAUCUGGUAUUGAAAACUCCGGUGGAUAGAGAUGGGCACGCGCAAGAUUAGAUAGUUGGUGAGGUAACGGCUCACCAAGUCAGCGAUCUUUAGGGGGCCUGAGAGGGUGAUCCCCCACACUGGUACUGAGACACGGACCAGACUCCUACGGGAGGCAGCAGUGAGGAAUAUUGGACAAUGGGUGAGAGCCUGAUCCAGCCAUCCCGCGUGAAGGACGACGGCCCUAUGGGUUGUAAACUUCUUUUGUAUAGGGAUAAACCUAGAUACGUGUAUCUAGCUGAAGGUACUAUACGAAUAAGCACCGGCUAACUCCGUG
This 479-nucleotide ribosomal RNA is filed under the name uncultured bacterium. Its description in RNAcentral is "partial 16S ribosomal RNA". It matches the Rfam family "Bacterial small subunit ribosomal RNA", at positions 28 to 507 of the family's 1533-position model. The record is from RNAcentral.